RNAcentral lists this ribosomal RNA (517 nucleotides) under uncultured bacterium. RNAcentral describes it as "bacterial SSU rRNA". It matches the Rfam family "Bacterial small subunit ribosomal RNA", at positions 501 to 1016 of the family's 1533-position model. The record is from RNAcentral.
CUACGUGCCAGCAGCCGCGGUAAUACGUAGGUCCCGAGCGUUGUCCGGAUUUAUUGGGCGUAAAGCGAGCGCAGGCGGUUAGAUAAGUCUGAAGUUAAAGGCUGUGGCUUAACCAUAGUACGCUUUGGAAACUGUUUAACUUGAGUGCAAGAGGGGAGAGUGGAAUUCCAUGUGUAGCGGUGAAAUGCGUAGAUAUAUGGAGGAACACCGGUGGCGAAAGCGGCUCUCUGGCUUGUAACUGACGCUGAGGCUCGAAAGCGUGGGGAGCAAACAGGAUUAGAUACCCUGGUAGUCCACGCCGUAAACGAUGAGUGCUAGGUGUUAGACCCUUUCCGGGGUUUAGUGCCGCAGCUAACGCAUUAAGCACUCCGCCUGGGGAGUACGACCGCAAGGUUGAAACUCAAAGGAAUUGACGGGGGCCCGCACAAGCGGUGGAGCAUGUGGUUUAAUUCGAGGCAACGCGAAGAACCUUACCAGGUCUUGACAUCCCUCUGACCUCUCUAGAGAUAGAGAUUUC